AUUCUUUUAGUUUAAUGGCAAAACAACUUUCUUCUAAAAAGUUUAUUUUGGUUCAACUCCAAAAAAGAAUA
RNAcentral lists this transfer RNA (71 nucleotides) under Clavaria fumosa. Its description in RNAcentral is "tRNA-Arg". It matches the Rfam family "tRNA". Rfam says of the family: Transfer RNA (tRNA) molecules are approximately 80 nucleotides in length. Their secondary structure includes four short double-helical elements and three loops (D, anti-codon, and T loops). The record is from RNAcentral. Lineage: Eukaryota; Fungi; Basidiomycota; Agaricomycetes; Agaricales; Clavariaceae.